This 2240-nucleotide long non-coding RNA is filed under the name Capsicum annuum. Its description in RNAcentral is "long non-coding RNA (CANN_LNC019387)". The record is from RNAcentral. Lineage: Eukaryota; Viridiplantae; Streptophyta; Magnoliopsida; Solanales; Solanaceae.
CUAACCGUAACAACAUUAACAACACUACGCAACGCAGCAACCCAACUGAAACAAAACAACAUACAAAUGCCAUAUAAUGCCAACAACGAUAAUUCCCAAACAACGGAUUCAAUAACAUCAACUUCAACAGCGUACAAACCUUCUGCCAAACCAACCAACAAAAAGUUCUUGAGAAUUCUAGUCCCACAUCGGCUGGAAAUACCCCAUUCCUAGAUUUGAAACUCUAUACAAAGGGCUUCUCGUUCUUCAUUUUGGGGGUGGUUUUUUGAAAUCAAAAAGGGACUAAAAAUUUUCUUGUUGUUCUCGAGUCAAAAGAGGGAGAGACUUGAGGAAAAGCUGGAGGAUUCUAGAGGUGUGCACCUCUAACCCUACGUAACCAAGUCAUCUUCAAAAUAGUUCAAAAAAGAAUUCAUCAAAAUCGUUUGAAUUCAUCAAAAUCGUUUGAAUUCGCAAAUUGAAACUUUGGUGGAAGUCAUCUUCAAAAUAGUUCAAAAAAGAAUUCAUCAAAAUCGUUUGAAUUCGCAAAUUGAAACUUUGGUGGAAGUCGUUCCGACGAAAGUUCGUAGUCCUGUUUGCUGUCCGUCAUAAGGUGAACACUUUUCCCUUUAAAUUUUCUUUUUUUCGUUGUAAUUAUUUCUUCAUUAGCGUCGUAGCGAUGAUGUUGCUGGGAUUAUGUGCUGUAGAAGCCUUGAAGUCCUUAGGAUUUUUGUGUGAUGACAAUUGUGUUUGUUGUUUGUUACAUUGAAUUAACGUUUUGUCUCACUGUUUUGGCUUUAUUUGUGAGAAUCCAUGGCUUUAUUUUGACGUUGCUUAAUAGAGUAUUGUUGUUCCUGUUACAAUUUGAUCAUUCUUUUCCUUAUUUUUGUUUGAUCAAAUGUUCAUCUUUUACCAUAAAACCUUUUAAGUGAACAUAUGCAGUGGAUUGGAUUUUGAAUAAGUUCAAAAGUUGGUCUUUUAAAAAGAAAAAUUCCUUCUUCCCCGGGAGUUUCUUUUCUAGAUAAAAUUAUGUUAGUGAUUGCAAGCUAAAACUCUCCCCUUUAUUUUCAUUAGUUUGAACUAAAGAUCAAUCUUAAUCUUGGAGUUUGCAUAUUUGGUCAUUAAGUUGUGUCAAAUUUAGUUGUUUGGUGAAGGUUUAACAUAAACAAAUUUUGCCCUUUACUAUGUGUGAACUUUGAUUGAUUUACCGGGGUGUUAUUUUUGUUUUAAGAAUCCAAUGUUAUUAAGGUCGGCAAAAUCCAAGAUAAAUGCAUAAGUUGUUAAUGUUACAUAAUACAUGAAUUAUGUUAUGGCUAUAAGUUAUUUAUGGUUUCUCUCGUGGAAAGCUUGGACUUAAUAGUUUAAUUUUCACCAAUAUUUAUUUCUUCAAGCUUCAACCAUUUUUAAAGCUAUUUUGGUUAAUUGAUUUAUCCAUAUCAUGUGAAUUACUUAGCAAACGUUGACCACCUUUUUAUGGUAUGUUUUUCUUCAUUUAUCACAUCAUUGAGUAAAUGGUUAUAUAUAUUUCUCCCCUUUUUAAGUUAUGCAUUAAGAGCACUUGAAUAGAUACUAAUUUUUAUUUUUCUCUCUUGUUUAUGUGAUUCUUAGCGAGUCCAACUGGACCCCAUCGCCCCUGCAUUUCUUCGGGACCAAAACCAUCCUCACUCGAGUUAAAAAUCUCCAUCAAAAUCUAUCCAAGGGCUGCUAUACAUUCGUAUACAACAGAUAUACACCGAAAUAGUUUCAGCUGUACACUAUCAUACAUGUACAUGAAAAAAUGGUGUCAAACGUGCUGAUUUCUACAUUGAUAUACGGCGAACACGCGAUGGUAUACCCAAAAACUGCAGAAAAAAUGGACUGAUAUACACAUAGUAUUACACAGCUGAAAGAGGGUUGAAAAAAAAGGGCCAUUAAAAUAGGCCCAAAAAUAAUGCUGUCCAGAUUUGAAAAUGGGCUAAUUAAGGGCCCAAUUUUAAUUCUUGUGUUCUUUUUUGUAGCUUAUAUUGUUUAUCUAAAAAUUAUACAAAUACACAACUUAUGUUUUCAAUAUUACAAAAAAUCCCAACUCCGUAAACAUAUUAUAAAAAUCCCAACAUAUACACAGAAUGCUAUGUAUAUGUCGGCUAUGUUAUGCUUAUUAAUAGGGAUAGAGAGUAAAGUAAUUAAAAAAGUGGAAGAGAGUGUAAUUACUUCCAAAAGGGUUGGUAUUUAUGUUAUUUAUACGUUGUUUAUUUGUAUUAACUAAUACUUUAACUCAAUUAAUU